Molecule: non-coding RNA, 29 nt
Filed under: Mus musculus (house mouse)
Lineage: Eukaryota; Metazoa; Chordata; Mammalia; Rodentia; Muridae
Source: RNAcentral
UAUUCAAACUGUGCAUGAAUAUAGCAUCC